Long non-coding RNA from Penaeus monodon (black tiger shrimp), 262 nucleotides. RefSeq lists it as uncharacterized. NCBI's taxonomy places the organism in Eukaryota, Metazoa, Arthropoda, Malacostraca, Decapoda, Penaeidae. The record is from RefSeq and is a predicted model, not a curated record. The transcript is spliced from 3 exons.
CACAGCAUCAUCCAGUCUUACAGAGUGGAGGUGUAGGUGGGCACGGCACAGGUGGAGUGGGCCAAGGAGUGGGUCAGGUUGGUGGAGUGCCACCUGGGCCAAGCCCUCAGCCCCCAGGACCGCCACACGACCUCAAUACACAAGCACUCCCACCAGGUUCAACACAGCAAAUACAACAAGGCUCAGGAGGGACCUUACCGGUGGCAUCACCCCAACAUGAUGUACUCCACCACGACACAGAAUCAGCCCCAGGGACCACAAC